GGAGAGGUGCCGGAGCGGUUGAACGGGGCGGUCUCGAAAACCGUUGUACCCUCUGGGUACCGUGGGUUCGAAUCCCACCCUCUCCG
RNAcentral lists this transfer RNA (86 nucleotides) under bacterium. Its description in RNAcentral is "tRNA-Ser". It matches the Rfam family "tRNA". Rfam says of the family: Transfer RNA (tRNA) molecules are approximately 80 nucleotides in length. Their secondary structure includes four short double-helical elements and three loops (D, anti-codon, and T loops). Further hydrogen bonds mediate the characteristic L-shaped molecular structure. tRNAs have two regions of fundamental functional importance: the anti-codon, which is responsible for specific mRNA codon recognition, and the 3' end, to which the tRNAs corresponding amino acid is attached (by aminoacyl-tRNA synthetases). tRNAs cope with the degeneracy of the genetic code in two manners: having more than one tRNA (with a specific anti-codon) for a particular amino acid; and 'wobble' base-pairing, i.e. permitting non-standard base-pairing at the 3rd anti-codon position. RNAcentral also lists the same sequence under 2 other names. The record is from RNAcentral.